UCUCCGUUGGUGAACCAGCGGAGGGAUCAUUACAGAGUUGCAAAACUCCCAACCCUUUGUGAACGAACCUGACAGUUGCUUCGGCAGAAGGCCCUUCACUGGGCAGCCCGCCGGAGGGUCUCCAAACUCUGUUUCUAUAUGUAACUUCUGAGUAAAACCAUAAAUAAAUCAAAACUUUCAACAACGGAUCUCUUGGUUCUG
Molecule: unclassified non-coding RNA, 201 nt
Filed under: root metagenome
Description: partial contains small subunit ribosomal RNA, internal transcribed spacer 1, and 5.8S ribosomal RNA
Source: RNAcentral